RNAcentral lists this ribosomal RNA (465 nucleotides) under Vreelandella stevensii. RNAcentral's name for it is "partial 16S ribosomal RNA". It matches the Rfam family "Bacterial small subunit ribosomal RNA", at positions 338 to 795 of the family's 1533-position model. Lineage: Bacteria; Pseudomonadati; Pseudomonadota; Gammaproteobacteria; Oceanospirillales; Halomonadaceae. The record is from RNAcentral.
CCUACGGGAGGCAGCAGUGGGGAAUAUUGGACAAUGGGGGCAACCCUGAUCCAGCCAUGCCGCGUGUGUGAAGAAGGCCCUCGGGUUGUAAAGCACUUUCAGUGAGGAAGAACGCCUGGUGGUUAAUACCCAUCAGGAAAGACAUCACUCACAGAAGAAGCACCGGCUAACUCCGUGCCAGCAGCCGCGGUAAUACGGAGGGUGCGAGCGUUAAUCGGAAUUACUGGGCGUAAAGCGCGCGUAGGUGGCUUGAUAAGCCGGUUGUGAAAGCCCCGGGCUCAACCUGGGAACGGCAUCCGGAACUGUCAAGCUAGAGUGCAGGAGAGGAAGGUAGAAUUCCCGGUGUAGCGGUGAAAUGCGUAGAGAUCGGGAGGAAUACCAGUGGCGAAGGCGGCCUUCUGGACUGACACUGACACUGAGGUACGAAAGCGUGGGUAGCAAACAGGAUUAGAUACCCUUGUAGUC